AGGUUGCUGCAUAUGACAUAAAGAAGCAGAAAAUGGAUUUCUUUGAUCCUUCUAGGCCUAAAGAUUUUCUAUUCAUCUCUGGCACGAAGAUGCGAUUUCUUGCACAAAACAGAGAGGAUCCACCAGAUGGCUUCAUGUGUCCUGGUGGAUGGAAAGUAUUGGUGGAAUACUACGAAACACCGCUGGAAGCUCUAUCAAAUUGAACCGUCUAACACUUUCCUGGAACAAUUAAUUCUAUGAUAUUGUGAACAGUAUUUUCAAUCCGUGUGCAGCAAGCUCCAUGUGGUGUGAACAAUACGUUUGAUCUGUGUGAAACAAAUUCCAUAUACAUUGCUUGUUUUAGACCAAGUUGGUUUGGUUAGAUUUGUACGGAAACUAAAUUAUUUGUGAGAUAUAUGUGUUUAUAAUUGCUUGCGUCAAAAUGUUAAUUGUGAUGAGAAAGAAACAGAUGACAGGAGUAUCAUAAUGAAUAAAGUGGUGGAACUUAUUAUUUUUACAAGAGUAGAA
Molecule: non-coding RNA, 507 nt
Organism: Elaeis guineensis (African oil palm)
Lineage: Eukaryota; Viridiplantae; Streptophyta; Magnoliopsida; Arecales; Arecaceae
Source: RefSeq, a predicted model, not a curated record